UACGACAUAGUUAGUUUCAGGUAAAUGAACUUCUUGUAAUAAAAUACCCACCCCCAGUCAAACCAUUUAAAGUUCUUCUUCAAGACAUGUACAAAAACCAACUCCUCCACCACGGACUGAUCAUACAUCCAUGUCCAGUGAAUCCCACCUGGAGGAACCAGCCAAGGCGGAAAUUGCUCAGAUGCACAGCUGGAAACCUCACUGCUCCUGCUCCUUAUCAUGUAUGACCGGCGCAGAGGCUGUGCAUACCGUCGUCCAGUCUGUCAUCACCGUGUCAUUAAAGCCUCUCCGUCUCUCCUCCGGCUGGUCAUUCUUCUGCAUCCCCCCUCCCCCCCCCGGACAGAAAUUCCUUCGUUCCCUUGCAUGCGACUGAUCUUAGGAGUCGUUCUGACCACCUCUAUUUCUGACAUGGGAAUCUGUGCUGUCACAGCCUGUCGGACGGUAGAGGUGGAUGGAUGAAGAGCUGCAGCCGCGGAGACAGUGUCACUCCAUGAGGAGUUGAUGGAGGCUGUCAGGAGGAAGAGCUAUUGUGGGGCAUGGCUGUUGUGCACUGUUAGCAUUUGUGAGGACCUUUUGAAUGGACUCAAAAUAACUAGAAGAAAAUACUUUAUUCCUCACUGUAACAUUACGAGGAGGAAAAGCUUCACAUACCGCCUUCAUAGCUCUUAUUCCAAAUGGUCAGCGAAUGCAUCCUCGACACAUCUUUCUUGAUCAAACAAAACUACCUCAACAAAAAUGUGCAGGUGGAUGUCCAAAACACACACGCAUACAGUGUUUGAGUGUUGAGUGUAUGCAUGAUAAAACAACUGGCCUUCAGGUGUGCACCCCUGGCGGCGCUAUGUAAAGGAGAGGGACAGCGGAAUCAUGGAGUUGCGGUGAAAAAGGGGAAACUGGGGGGGUAGGGAAAGUUUGGUGUGUGUGUGUUUGUAUGCGUAUGUCGGUAUGUCUGUCAGUGUGUCCCUGCGCGCACUGACUGUCACAGUCCAUAUUAAGGAUGUAAAGCAAUUCUUACCAGAUUACUGAUUACUCACUGAUGUCCAGUGAUCUCCAGUUCAUGUGACAUCAUUUGCACUCUUCAGGAGUUCCACUUUGGUUGCUUUCUCCAUUUAAAACAGGUCCUGUAUACAAUAAACUAUUGUUCCCCCCUGGCAAUAAGGCGUAUGACUGGUGACAACAUGCUCGUACAAGUGGCUUCACGUCUUGCAUUCGACCACAUUACAGCCAGCGUAGUCUGGCAGUAUCUGCAUAUUGUUUCUCCUUUCUCAUUCCUUGACGUGGGACCUGAAACACUUCCACACAUCAAAUGAAAAAUCUGUUGGAGCCUCCACAAUUUCAAAAUCGCCUAUCUGUUUCUCGCCUUCCAUUUCCACUGGGUGCAAGGCACGAUGGGAACAUAGGAUAAUGAUCUCUGUAGUUUCCACCCCCUCUGCACUGUUCCACUGUGGCUGAAACAAAACUACCCUAUCAAUUCAUACAGAUACUUUUGAUCUUGCAAUACUAAAAUUGAUGACCUUUACAUCCUAUUUACUAUUCAAGUAUUAUUUCAGAGGUGUAAAAAAUCGUGUCUGUGGGACUCAUCACAGGGCCAGACUUGUGUCUGUGCCUGUUUGUUGUGUCUGUGCACAUGAAUAAAUGUUUUGAAGACUCA
Long non-coding RNA from Notolabrus celidotus (New Zealand spotty), 1648 nucleotides. RefSeq lists it as uncharacterized. The transcript has 2 exons. The record is from RefSeq and is a predicted model, not a curated record. Lineage: Eukaryota; Metazoa; Chordata; Actinopteri; Labriformes; Labridae.